UUUUCAUCAAAUGGGAACCUGGUGACCAUUAUUCAGUCAUGCCUUUGUCACCUCAAGGCCAGGCUAUUGUAGGCCACACAUAGUUGAAAUGUUUCAGCUGGUAAUAGAGGAUAUUGUGACCUGCCUACUAAUGAUGCCAGGGUAGUAGCAGUGCUCCACUGUCUGUGUUGUCUUCUUGUUUCACAGGCCAGAACUCCGAAGGAUGGGUGAAAAAUCUGGGCCAGAACUUCGUUUCCCUCCAGACCUGCCAACAUUGGGGUGAGAUGAGCACGUCUGUGGUUCGCCAAGGACAAGAUGGAACCACUGCCUUCUUUCUUCUUGACAAUCACCUGUAGCAGACCUGUAAUAUUGAGAAGGCAGAUGCUUGAUCCCUUUCAAAAGACCUGUGUCGUGGUAUGUCAUAUAAUUACACCUGGGCUCUCUGUGUUUGGAAGUUGAAAAAUAUCUCUUUCUCCAAGUGAUUUCAUAGCAUCUGUUUCAUUUCAGUAUGACAAGCAGCAAGGUACUCAGCUGCAAUCCCCACAGAUUCAUUCAAAGGCACGGGUACGUUUGGGUGCAAUCUUGCAAACUGGCCAUGCUUUCAGAGUAAGAAGGACUUUUAGGAUGGUGUUUCUUAGCUACAGCCAACAGUACAACCUGCAGCCACCAACCAUUCUUUGCAGCCCUAGCAAUCCUCCUGGGAUUUCCAUCUGCUCUAAUCUCAGCCUCCAGGAAGCAAGCAAUUUCUGCAUUUUCUACUGAGAUGUUUUCCACUUGUUGUCAUGUUUUCAAUAUGUGAACACAAUAAAAUAAUAAUCUUGGUCCUCCUUUCCCCUUUU
Molecule: long non-coding RNA, 818 nt
Filed under: Pogona vitticeps (central bearded dragon)
Lineage: Eukaryota; Metazoa; Chordata; Lepidosauria; Squamata; Agamidae
Description: lncRNA (ENSPVIG00000023668.1)
Source: RNAcentral